UACGUAGGGGGCAAGCGUUGUCCGGAUUUAUUGGGCGUAAAGCGCACGUAGGCGGCUUUUUAAGUCAGGGGUGAAAUCCUGGAGCUCAACUCCAGAACUGCCUUUGAUACUGGGAAGCUCGAGUCCGGGAGAGGUGAGUGGAACUCCGAGUGUAGAGGUGAAAUUCGUAGAUAUUCGGAAGAACACCAGUGGCGAAGGCGGCUCACUGGCCCGGUACUGACGCUGAGGUGCGAAAGCGUGGGGAGCAAACAGG
RNAcentral lists this ribosomal RNA (253 nucleotides) under uncultured bacterium. RNAcentral's name for it is "partial 16S ribosomal RNA". It matches the Rfam family "Bacterial small subunit ribosomal RNA", at positions 524 to 776 of the family's 1533-position model. The record is from RNAcentral.